AUUGAACGCUGGCGGCAGGCUUAACACAUGCAAGUCGAGCGGUAACAGAGAAUAGCUUGCUAUUUUGCUGACGAGCGGCGGACGGGUGAGUAAUGCUUGGGAAUAUGCCUUAAGGUGGGGGACAACAGUUGGAAACGACUGCUAAUACCGCAUAACGUCUACGGACCAAAGGAGGGGAUCUUCAGACCUUUCGCCUUUUGAUUAGCCCAAGUGAGAUUAGCUAGUAGGUAAGGUAAUGGCUUACCUAGGCGACGAUCUCUAGCUGGUUUGAGAGGAUGAUCAGCCACACUGGGACUGAGACACGGCCCAG
This 310-nucleotide ribosomal RNA is filed under the name uncultured Thalassomonas sp. RNAcentral describes it as "bacterial SSU rRNA". It matches the Rfam family "Bacterial small subunit ribosomal RNA", at positions 30 to 334 of the family's 1533-position model. Lineage: Bacteria; Pseudomonadati; Pseudomonadota; Gammaproteobacteria; Alteromonadales; Colwelliaceae. The record is from RNAcentral.